This 170-nucleotide ribosomal RNA is filed under the name Clavaria redoleoalii. Its description in RNAcentral is "partial large subunit ribosomal RNA". It matches the Rfam family "Eukaryotic large subunit ribosomal RNA", at positions 99 to 261 of the family's 3401-position model. Lineage: Eukaryota; Fungi; Basidiomycota; Agaricomycetes; Agaricales; Clavariaceae. The record is from RNAcentral.
AGGGAAAAGCUCAAAUUUAAAAUCUGACAGUCUCUGGCUGUCCGAGUUGUAAAUUAGAGAAGUGCUAUCCGCGCUGGACUGUGCAUAAGUUCCUUGGAAAAGGGCAUCAUAGAGGGUGACAAUCCCGUCUUUGGCACAGACUCCCAGGGCUUUUGUGAUGCGCUCUCGAU